UGGGAGUGUGUCAAUUGGCAUUUUGAAGA
Molecule: non-coding RNA, 29 nt
Filed under: Mus musculus (house mouse)
Lineage: Eukaryota; Metazoa; Chordata; Mammalia; Rodentia; Muridae
Also listed under: 1 other name
Source: RNAcentral